Long non-coding RNA from Magnolia sinica, 1516 nucleotides. RefSeq lists it as uncharacterized. The record is from RefSeq and is a predicted model, not a curated record. The transcript has 2 exons. Lineage: Eukaryota; Viridiplantae; Streptophyta; Magnoliopsida; Magnoliales; Magnoliaceae.
CGUAAAUAGAUCCCGACAUAGACCACAAGGAUCAUUUGACUUUCCCCAACUUGGAGGUGUGUUUUUCCAUUGAUCCUUUAGAGAACGGAAAGCAGCAGCUGCAAAAUUCAUGGAUUCUAAUGCAUUCUAAUUACAAGUUACCACAUAUAACUGAUGACACAUUUACUUCACAUGGGUUCAUUUGUAAGACAUAUUUACAAAAUAAAAGUUAGCGAACUUGGUGUGAGAGUCAAGAAAUAUUUGGCCUUUCAUUGGUUUCUUUACAUUUUCUUUACAGAUUGAUUUAUUCUAUUUAAAUGCUAGAGCAUUGAAAUUGAAUCUAUUUCUUGUCACUGUUUAUAGCAAUGUCUGUUACAUGUCAUUGCAAUUCUUUUAGUAAGACAAUUUUCUUCAAUUCUCUUCCAACUUCUUCCCUUUUCUUUUUUUAUCAGCUGAACCUGGAAAAACACUGACUGAAUAUUUUUAGCCUACUAGACAAAAUGGAAUUGAAACAUUGAAAAAAAAAAAUCAUUACAAGUAACCUUCAUACAUUAAAUGUUUACUAGGGUUUUACGAAAUGGUUUCUUGAUAUCUUGCAGGCGGUGUCCAAUAUUUACUAGAUAAGUGGCAGGCUGAUAUUUGCCCUUCUACUUGUUUGACUUUAGAACUGAUAGUAAGCGGGAACUAUUGGUCAUAGGUCAGUGAGUGGUGCAUGCUUUUCAGACAAUCAUGCCAUAUGGGAUAUCUACAAGUUAGUAAUAUCGCUUUCUUAACUAAUAUGGGGAUGCAAAUGCCUGGAUUAUUGAUCUUUUCUAAUCUUAGAUGCUUUAGUUUCUAGUUCAGGCUCUUUCAUGAGUAGAAUGUACUCUCCUUUUCAUAUUUUCAUCAAGGGAUACCAAAAUAUUACGAUUUAAUUUGUGACAGGAAUACUUCUCAUGAUCUGUUUCCAUGCAGAAUUUGCUUGAUGUUGAUGCCCAUAGAAAAAUACAUAUUUGUGAUGACAUUAUGUUGGUUGAGCUUGUGUUUGUGACGAAAAUUGGAACUUUUGAUUACAGGCCCAUCUUCUUUUAAGUUUAUGGAUUGUGUUUGGAACUUUCAGCAUAUAUUUUAGUGUUUUUUCUUUUAUUCGCUUGUGACCUUUUUUUCCUAAGUUCUGAGGUUGUUCAUGGUGAUGUGGUGUUGCCAGAUCAAUAAAGUCACAUUCUGCUUGACUCUAGAGAUCAUUCAUCAGAAACAUUAGUGGGCCUGGAUUUCUUAGUUGGUGGGUUGGAUGAUAGUUAGCAAACAAGGAAACUGCAAAGAAGGUACGAGAUGUUGCAGAUAUGCUUUUCUUGUUCAAUGCUUUAUAACUGUGUGAGCAGAACUUGGGAUUGUUAUGAUUGUUCUCAUGAGUGGAACUUGAUUGUAGACCUAUAUUUCAUCACGCUUGCAGGAGCUAAGAGUUGAUGGAACGCGUGCUCAAUUUCUAUGUUUACAAGGAAGGAAAAAACCCAUAUUCGUUACUCCAAUGCUCGGAGGAAUUUAUGCCUCUGAGGGA